GACGAACGCUGGCGGCGUGCUUAACACAUGCAAGUCGAACGGCAAAGCGCCUUCCUUUUUGGUGGGUGUGGAUGAGUGGCGAACGGGUGAGUAACACGUGAGUAACCUGCCUCCUUCUUCUGGAUAACCGCAUGAAAGUGUGGCUAAUACGGGAUAUUCUGGGUCUGUCGCAUGAUGGGUCUGGGAAAGAUAUUGUUUCGGUGGGGGAUGGGCUCGCGGCCUAUCAGCUUGUUGGUGGGGUGAUGGCCUACCAAGGCGGUGACGGGUAGCCGGCCUGAGAGGGUGGACGGUCACACUGGGACUGAGACACGGCCCAGACUCCUACGGGAGGCAGCAGUGGGGAAUAUUGCACAAUGGGCGCAAGCCUGAUGCAGCGACGCCGCGUGAGGGAUGGAGGCCUUCGGGUUGUGAACCUCUUUCGCCAGUGAAGCAGGCCUGCCUCGUUUGUGGGUGGGUUGACGGUAGCUGGAUAAGAAGCGCCGGCUAACUACGUG
This 494-nucleotide ribosomal RNA is filed under the name uncultured bacterium. RNAcentral describes it as "partial 16S ribosomal RNA". It matches the Rfam family "Bacterial small subunit ribosomal RNA", at positions 28 to 507 of the family's 1533-position model. The record is from RNAcentral.